CAGAGCGGCACGCAGUUCGGCGGCGGCGGAGGUCUCUUCACACGGUUGCUGAAUUUCUGAAACACAUACCAAAUGAAGCUACUUGGUUUCCAAGCAGACAAAAGUGCCAGAGAAGAGCCCGACGCGUGGUGCGCGAAGAAAACAAGAUCCUGGGUGCAUUCAAAAGCAAAACUACCCAUGGAAAUCUUCAGGAGUCGGUGUUGGGAAUUUACAAACUGACCUGU
Molecule: long non-coding RNA, 224 nt
Organism: Sinocyclocheilus grahami
Lineage: Eukaryota; Metazoa; Chordata; Actinopteri; Cypriniformes; Cyprinidae
Exons: 3
Source: RefSeq, a predicted model, not a curated record